This 440-nucleotide ribosomal RNA is filed under the name uncultured bacterium. RNAcentral's name for it is "partial 16S ribosomal RNA". It matches the Rfam family "Bacterial small subunit ribosomal RNA", at positions 338 to 795 of the family's 1533-position model. The record is from RNAcentral.
CCUACGGGGGGCAGCAGUGGGGGAUAUUGCACAAUGGGGGAAACCCUGAUGCAGCGACGCCGCGUGUGGGAAGACGGUCCUCUGGAUUGUACACCACUGUCCCCAGGGACGAAGAUGACGGUACCGGGGGAGGAAGCUCCGGCUAACUACGUGCCAGCAGCCGCGGUAAUACGUAGGGAGCGAGCGUUGGCCGGAAUUACUGGGUGUAAAGGGAGCGUAGGCGGGACUGCAAGUUGGGUGUCAAAUCUACCGGCUCAACCGGUAGCCGCACUCAAAACUGCAGUUCUUGAGUGAAGUAGAGGCAGGCGGAAUUCCUAGUGUAGCGGUGAAAUGCGUAGAGAUUAGGAGGAACACCAGUGGCGAAGGCGGCCUGCUGGGCUUUUACUGACGCUGAGGCUCGAAAGUGUGGGGAGCAAACAGGAUUAGAUACCCCAGUAGUC